Tigriopus californicus is the source of this 1020-nucleotide long non-coding RNA. RefSeq lists it as uncharacterized. The transcript has 2 exons. The record is from RefSeq and is a predicted model, not a curated record. Lineage: Eukaryota; Metazoa; Arthropoda; Copepoda; Harpacticoida; Harpacticidae.
UAUACUCUAGCACCCAGAUUUGGCAUCCCAAUUUCUAUACCGUUUUUUUUUGUUUACAGCACCAACGGUAUCUUUUGCUCACACGGCAAGUGAUUCGGACGAACGAACUCUGUUCCUCUCAGAUGCUGAUACAUUUACAUUUGAUGAGGCAAUAACAGAGUGUCAAAACCAAGGGAUGGCUUCUUUUUGGCAACCUUGGCCACCAAGAAGAAGCAGAUGCUGUAUUCGAUUUUGUUGAAGAGGGUGAAGCCUGGAUUGGCUUGACAACCAGCACUUCGACAAAUUGCGAAGAUGAAGGAUGUAAUAAUCAAGCCACUUGGGAAGGGGAGAGAGGAUUAUACAUGCACCAAAACUUUGGAUACCGUCUAUCACUCAAUGACAAUCAAGGGAGGCAUUGCGUCCGAACAAACGCCGAUGCCAUGGGAAACCGAUUAAAUGACUUGGCAUGUUCUUCAAAUAAUCGCAGAAGACAAUUUUUGUGUCAAAAGGACAAGCCCAGCGAGUGCUUCCAGCCCUGAUAAUCUUUAGGAUCCUAAUGCUCGUCCACUCGUGAUCAUUAGAGAGCGGAUCUGAAAUUGAUGUGCAAGUUAAGGAGAAAUUCGUGAGGAAUUUUCGUGAUCGGCUUUCUCCUUUCGACAUUUAGACUAGAGCUGUGCACCGGAUCCGACAGGGUCUCCGAAUCCGAUUCCGGGUGAUUUUUUGCAAUCCGAAUCCGAAAUGUUUUGCCCAAUCCGAAUCCGAUAGCUCUGCCCAAUCUGAACGAACCGGAACCCGACUUUUUUCUCGAAUCCGAGUCUGAAUCCGAAUCGAGAUAUAUUUGCAUAAUCCGAACAUAAUCCGAAAUAUUUUGCAAAAUCUGAUCCAAAUCUGAUUUGUUCACACAAUUAACUUGAAAAGACCUCAUUUAACUUCAACUAAAUGUGCCUUUUGCCACUAGAACGUUUUGAAAUGAUGAGAUAUAGUGAUGUUGGCUUAGUCAUAAUAUAAUUUUCCUACUAUUGACUGUUUGGACAGCAAGAA